This 1873-nucleotide long non-coding RNA is filed under the name Betta splendens (Siamese fighting fish). Its description in RNAcentral is "lncRNA (ENSBSLG00000023754.1)". Lineage: Eukaryota; Metazoa; Chordata; Actinopteri; Anabantiformes; Osphronemidae. The record is from RNAcentral.
AUGGUGCUGUCUUUGCUCCUGCUGCUGUUGCUCUCUGUUUGCAAUGCUAGUCAUUUCUUCGGAACAGUGAUGACCUAUUAUCCAAGCUACACUGACAUAAAUCAAACUGUUCAGGUGGUCCUUCGCGCUAAGAUGAACUUCCAUCUUUGCUCACAGUUGACUAGAUGGAGCUGUUCCAGUUUGAACUGUGGUACUGAGAUCUUGUUACCGAACACUGUCAUUGACAGAGAAAGCAGCGACGACUGGUGUCAGUAUGAGGAAAUAUCAACUCGGCAGGUUCCCAACAACGCUCCAUUUCUACUGAUGUUGAGCGGUGGUUCAUGGGUAGGGAAUAAUAAUGGCAUCACUAAUUGGCGAGCUAUUACAGUGGUUGAUGUGAGAAACAGAUCUGACACCAACAAAGCCAACUCAUCACCACAGACCACCAUCCUGCCUCUUCUCAGAGUUCCUUCAAACUGUCAAAGAGACUUUAACCUCUUGGCCUUUGACUCUGAUGGAGAUAAUGUAAGAUGCAGAUAUGGAGAUGCAUCACUGUCAGAGUGUUACACCUGCACUCAACCACCUGUUCUCAACCUCUCAGCAUCCUGUACGUUGUCAUUCAGCCCAACAAGCAGCAGUAAUGAAGGAGCGUAUGUUGUUCAGAUGGUGAUGGAGGACUUUCCAAAGCAGAAUAUCACCCUGACUCAAACUAAUGGUUCACAGGAGGUGAAAAGCAACAAUGAUGCCGUCAGCAAGAUUCCAGUCCAGUUUGUUGUAAGCGUGGAUCCUGUGGUGCCGUCCUGCACAGAGGGACUUUAUUUGCCCAAGUUCCUGCCUCCAACCCCAGAUAAUGGGGCUCAUCUGUACACGCUGGUCAAUCAGUCCCUGACAAUUGCCAUCAAGGCCGAGACUCUUAAUGCUACGAUGUCGGAGCUGCUGUACAGUGGGCCGUCCAGCAUUAACCAGACCACGUCAGGUCCAGGACACUACAUCAUGACGUGGACUCCAUCUCAACGCGAGGAUGGAGAAAGUCACCCCAUCUGCUUUGUCGUCCAGGCUACAUACAAUGGAGUGAAGUAUCACUCAGAGCUUCGAUGCGUCGUCGUUGCUGUAAAAGCACCUCCACUAUUCAGACAUAAAGUUGUUGUAGCCCUGAAAAUAAAGGUCUCCCCCUCAUCUCCAGUGUCUGAGGAAGACAUCAGGAUUGGCAUCAUUCAAAAGGUCAAACAUGAACUGGACAGCAGAGGGAUAGCAUCAAAUGUGACGCUGCGCCUUGUGAAGACGGACACAGCCACACCAAGUCCUGAUUGUUGAUGAAUUGCUAGCUAUAUUAAGUUCAGUUGUUGUUUAAGCAGUUUUGGUUUUGACAACGUUCAUAAAGCUCAGUUCAGGAGCCUAGUGAAAUCUAAUUACAGCUUUCAACAUACACUCAAUUAUGUGCAUCAGUCUUCCAGUCAUUAUUUUAAUUGUGAUUUUAAAACACUUUAUUCUACAUAUCAGCUGUCAUGGAUUUGGACUCUUAAGUUACCUGUUUUACUGUCAUACCACUUCUGUUUUGUGUUGGUUCCAGCUUGUGCAUCCGGUCAUGUGAUCCACCAGCUGCUAUCAAUUUUUCAUUACUUCUGUUACAUAUAUUCCACUUCUCACCAUGACUCCUUGCCAGAUUGUUGCGUGAACUCACCACUUUCCAGCAUUGUAUUCCUGUUUGCUUUCUGUGCCUGACCACCAGCCUAGCCCUUUGAACCCUAGCCAAGCCUAUAGUUUUUGACCUGUGCCUGUAUUUUGACCGCCGCCUGCUGAUUCCCUGUUUGUACCUCUUACUGUACCUGUGUUUUGGCCCUCGCCCGUACGACCUGGGUUCAGCUCUGCCAUUAAAUGAACUUUUCCUCACCCC